This 69-nucleotide transfer RNA is filed under the name Marmota monax (woodchuck). RNAcentral's name for it is "tRNA.Ala". The record is from RNAcentral. Lineage: Eukaryota; Metazoa; Chordata; Mammalia; Rodentia; Sciuridae.
GGAUUGUAGCUCAGUUGGUAGAGUGUUUGCCUAGCAUGUGUGAGGCACUGGGUUUGAUUCUCAGCACCA